This 471-nucleotide ribosomal RNA is filed under the name uncultured bacterium. Its description in RNAcentral is "SSU rRNA". It matches the Rfam family "Bacterial small subunit ribosomal RNA", at positions 26 to 518 of the family's 1533-position model. The record is from RNAcentral.
AGGACGAACGCUGGCGGCGUGCUUAACACAUGCAAGUCGAGCGGAAAGGCCCUUCGGGGUACUCGAGCGGCGAACGGGUGAGUAACACGUGAGUAAUCUGCCCCUAGCUCUGGGAUAGCUCCGGGAAACCGGGAUUAAUACCAGAUACGACCACUUUAGACAUCUGCUGUGGUGGAAAGAAUUUCGGCUAGGGAUGAGCUCGCGGCCUAUCAGCUUGUUGGUGAGGUAACGGCUCACCAAGGCGACGACGGGUAGCCGGCCUGAGAGGGCGACCGGCCACACUGGGACUGAGACACGGCCCAGACUCCUACGGGAGGCAGCAGUGGGGAAUAUUGCACAAUGGGCGCAAGCCUGAUGCAGCAACGCCGCGUGAGGGACGACGGCCUUCGGGUUGUAACCUCUUUAGUAGGGAAGAAGCGAAAGUGACGGUACCUGCAGAAAAGCACCGGCUAACUACGUGCCAGCAGCCGC